Long non-coding RNA from Grammomys surdaster, 274 nucleotides. RefSeq lists it as uncharacterized. Lineage: Eukaryota; Metazoa; Chordata; Mammalia; Rodentia; Muridae. The record is from RefSeq and is a predicted model, not a curated record. The transcript is spliced from 2 exons.
UUCCUUUUGUACUGGCUUUAUAAGGAACGUUUUGUGAGUAGUGGUUGACGAAUGGAACACAAAGGUCCUCUGAUCUGCACAUCCACCUUUCUGCAGAGCUGAAGUGCUUUAGUCGUAAGGGUUUAACCUUUUCCCUUACCUUCUGACUCCCUUUUUGCAGAGCAUGUUGAGUCGGCUGCAGAUCUUGACUGUAAAUUAGCGUCUAGAGACCCCGCGGGUAAGCUGGACAUCUGUGUAUCUGAGUUUCUUAGCAAUAAAGCAAAAGUGAACCUUA